RNAcentral lists this ribosomal RNA (505 nucleotides) under uncultured bacterium. RNAcentral describes it as "bacterial SSU rRNA". It matches the Rfam family "Bacterial small subunit ribosomal RNA", at positions 791 to 1301 of the family's 1533-position model. The record is from RNAcentral.
UAGUCCACGCCGUAAACGAUGGUCACUAGUUGUUGGGGUCUUGUACCUCAGUGAUUAAGAGAAAUUGAUAAGUGACCCACCUGGGGAGUACGAUCGCAAGAUUGAAACUCAAAGGAAUUGACGGGGGCCCGCACAAGCGGUGGAGCAUGUGGUUUAAUUCGAUGAUACGCGAGGAACCUUACCAGGGCUUAAAUGUAAGUUGCAUGAUUUAGAGAUAGAUCUUUCUUCGGACUACUUACAAGGUGCUGCAUGGUUGUCGUCAGCUCGUGCCGUGAGGUGUCAGGUUAAGUCCUAUAACGAGCGCAACCCCUGUUGUUAGUUGCCAGCGAGUCAAGUCGGGAACUCUAGCAAGACUGCCGGUGCAAACCGCGAGGAAGGUGGGGAUGACGUCAAAUCAUCACGGCCCUUACGUCCUGGGCCACACACGUGCUACAAUGGUAGGUACAAUGAGCAGCCACUGCGCGAGCAGGAGCGAAUCUAAAAAACCUAUCUCAGUUCGGAUCGU